Molecule: ribosomal RNA, 410 nt
Filed under: uncultured bacterium
Lineage: Bacteria
Description: bacterial SSU rRNA
Rfam family: Bacterial small subunit ribosomal RNA
Source: RNAcentral
UGGGGAAUCUUGCGCAAUGGGCGAAAGCCUGACGCAGCGACACCGCGUGGGGACGAAGGCCUUUCAGGUCGUAAACCCCUUCGCAGGGACGAAGCGAUCUCGUGACGGUACCUGCAGAAGAAGCCUCGGCUAACUACGUGCCAGCAGCCGCGGUAACACGUAGGAGGCGAGCGUUGUCCGGAAUCAUUGGGCGUAAAGAGCGCGCAGGCGGCCCGGCAAGUCGGGUGUGAAAUCCCGGGGGCUCAACCCCGGGCACUGUCGGGCUCGAGCACAGUAGAGGCAGGUGGAAUUCCCGGUGUAGCGGUGGAAUGCGUAGAGAUCGGGAAGAACAUCGGUGGCGAAGGCGGCCUGCUGGGCUGUUGCUGACGCUGAGGCGCGACAGCGUGGGGAGCAAACAGGAUUAGAUACCC